This is an RNA transcript of Globicephala melas (long-finned pilot whale), 4118 nucleotides long. It is a transcript of the gene named trans-golgi network vesicle protein 23 homolog C, with no coding region annotated. Lineage: Eukaryota; Metazoa; Chordata; Mammalia; Artiodactyla; Delphinidae. The record is from RefSeq and is a predicted model, not a curated record.
GUCGGGUUGCCGCUGUUACUCCGGCUCCUCCAGGCGCGUAGUGACCCCGCCUCGUCUGUUCUGGUCCCCGGCCCGCGGCUGCGGCGCUGACGUGGCUCCCGGAAGUGGGGCUGGCGUGGGCCGCCAUGUUGCAGCAGGACAGUAAUGAUGACAUUGAAGAUGUCUCACUGUUUGAUGCAGAAGAGGAGACAACUGGUAGAUCAAAAAAAUCCAAAAUCAGACACCCAGUGGCAUCAUUUUUCCAUUUAUUCUUUCGAGUCAGUGCAAUUAUAGUCUAUCUUCUCUGUGAAUUGUUCAGCAGCAGCUUUAUUGCCUGUAUGGUGACAAUUAUCUUGUUGUUGUCAUGUGACUUUUGGGCAGUCAAGAAUGUCACAGGUAGACUAAUGGUUGGCCUGCGCUGGUGGAAUCAUAUUGAUGAAGAUGGAAAAAGCCAUUGGGUGUUUGAGUCCAGGAAGGCCUCUCCUCAAGACAGUAAAACUGUUUCAGAGGCUGAAUCAAGAAUCUUCUGGUUAGGACUCAUUGCCUGUCCGGUGCUGUGGGUGAUAUUUGCCUUUAGUGCCCUCUUCUCCUUCAGAGUGAAGUGGUUGGCGGUGGUUAUCAUGGGUGUGGUGCUGCAAGGGGCCAACUUGUAUGGCUACAUCAGGUGCAAAGUGGGCAGCAGGAAGAAUUUAACCAGCAUGGCUACAUCGUACCUUGGAAAGCAGUUUUUAAGACAAACCACUGGAGACGAUCAGACCUCCUGAAGACAGUGAGGGAGUCUGCGUGUUCUUUCCUUUGGGAACAACUGAAGGGGGUCUUGACUCUGAACCUUUAGAACUCAGUACCUAUUGCAAAGAGGAGUGUUGGGUGACGAAACAGGACUUCAGGUUAUUGACUGACUUGCCCAAGGAGACACUGAUUACAGGAAGACCCAUCAGGACAUAUUACUGAUUUUAGAGGAAAUAUUUGUCUCUAAAUGUCCUUUCCUUUCGUACGAAUCAUUAAUUUACUAAGUCAUUAAUUUGGUAAGUGCUUGUUUCCCAUUUUAUUUAUACUUGUCUGGUGAGGAAAGUGGAUGCUGCAUAAAUGUUUUUAUUUAACCUGAAAGAUCUGGUGUCAGUCUGUAGAGCUGAGAGUCUCAUGGGGGGGUUGCUCUUGAGGUAACUAUUGUUAUUUCAGGCUUCAAUCCUACACCAAAUAUGAAUUGAAUUUUGGAAUAUGUACGUGGCAAGACCUACUGUUUAUCCCCCAAUAUUCAUUUUUCCCUUCUAUUCAUUUCCCACUUAUUAGCCAGGACAUGGCAACAAAGACAGUUUUUCCCAGAUUUUCUUGCUGCACCUUGGCUAUGCUUCCAGGAAGUAUUCUUAGAAGACCGGCAUGCGCGUCCCCUCCCCUUUUCACCCCUCUUAGCUGAAAUGUAGACAGAAUAGAUGGCGCUUGAACAGCUGUCAUGGACGAUGGGGUGAUAGCCUUAUUUUUGAGAACAGCAGAGAAAUAAGGUAGAGAUUGAGUUCCCGCUGAUGGGGCCAGCAGCCCUGAACUGCCUGUCUGAAUUUUUAAGUGAGAAACAAACUUCUGUCUUGUUUUAAGUGUUAUUGCUUUGGUUUUUCUGUUACUACAGCCUAAGUGAAUUCUUAUCAAUACAGUAUAUUUUCAGCAGCCCCCACAAUUGUUUCCAUUAGUAUAGUAUUUGAGAUUUAGUAGUUCAUCAAAUACAUAUUUGCUCUUUUCUGUGAGUUAAUUAAGCUAAUAUUAUAGAUUCUAACAAGUCCAGCUGUUCCAGAUGCUGUUGCUGCAUAAAAAUUCACCCCAGAACUUAGCAGUGUACAACAGUCAUUUUCUUAUGCUUACACAAGCUGUGGGCCAGGAAUCUGGGUGGAGCUCAGUGGGGACAGCUUUCCUCUGCUGCACAGCCUGGGGCUCGGCUGAGAGAUUUGAAGGCUGGGUUUUGCACAUUGGCCAGGAGGCAGGAAACAUCUGGGGGCAUCUUCACGGGUCUGGAGAUUGAUGGCGGCUGUCAGCUGAACCUCAGCCAGGUUGCUGGUUGGAACACCCACAUUUGUGACCUCUGGGUCGUCUCUCUGUGGAGGCUCAUCUGGGCUUCUUCACAGCCUGACAGCUGGGGUCUGAGACAGGCUUCCCCAGGGAGCCAGAGAAGUGUGUGACGUUUUUAUGACUAGUCUCGGGGUUCACAUAGUGUCACUUCUGCCAUACUCUGGUUGAAGCAGCCACUAAGGUCCCCCUGAGUUCACGGGGAGGGGACAAAGCAGCCAUCUUUUGAAAGUAAAAUCUGCCACACAUAAUCGUUUCAAGACGGGAAAACUGCUUGAAGAGACCGAGGGUAGCAUGUGUUGCUUUCUUUUUUAUCUUCCCUGGUCAGCCUUGAGCACAGGUAAACUGACUGAAUGGUGCAAUUAAAAUGAAAGUAACAUUGCAUUCUGGAGCCCCCAGUGUGCCUGUUGUUUGGCCCACAGCUCUGAAACGUAGGCAAGGGUGUGUGUGGUUGUGUGGAGGUGAUGGCACAGUAAGUCCACCAUGGUGUCAGUACUGUGGUCCUUUAAAUUUGUAAAACUCUUCAGAGCUCAUUCAGAGUUCUUUUAUGUCUAUUACCUUAUUUGAUUUUCCCCCGUAACCUCUAGAAGGAGGAGAGAUCAUGAACAACCUCAUGUUACAGAUGAAUAGCUAAGAUGGAGAAAAGUAAAAUAAUUUACUGACGAUUGCAGGUAGUAGAGACAGUGAUGCUCCCCCAGUAUUCCCUUUGUUCUCCUGUACUUCCCACCAGCUCCCUAAUUAACUGAAGCUAUGAGAUCAGUUAUGGCCCGUGUGAUGUGAGUGAAGGUGACCUGCAUCGCUUUUGGGUGAGGAAGGUGAAACUGAUGUGAGAGUCUCUAAUCUUUCUUCCCUUCUGUGGCAGCCAGUGGUGCUCGAGAUGGUGCCUCGGCCAGCUGGGUCCCUGGGUGGCUUGUAGAGCAGAAUCUCCCACCUGCUCCUGUUGGACGAAUGGCGUAAGUGAGCAAUAAACUUUUGGUGUGUGAAGUCACUUGAUUUCCUGGUUAAUUUGUUUCCAUAACAUAACACAGCGUAAUAGCCUCUUCUGACGAAUAUAGGUGCACACCUGACAAGUAAUACUCAGAAAACUCUUAAGUCCUAAUUCAGUAAUUUCUCCACUGUUCCAUGCUAUUUACUUUUGCAAGGAAAGAAAUUGGAAUCUGGUCCCUUAGUGCAGCAUCACCAAUUCUAAUCAGAACAGACAGGUGAGGUUGACCAGGUGAAAAUUCAACUAGGAGAGUCCACCUCCAUCUAAAGGAGCAGGAGCUUCUCAUUUCCAGCCACUUGUUGCCACUCAGGAAUGUGGUUCCUGUGUUGCUAGGGUUUUCUGUUUUUUAAGAGGAAUGGAAAAUCUGGAUGUUUAUAUGAAAUCUGAUCUUUUAAUGUUUGUAAAUUAAAUUUUAAAAGGAAAAAAAACAUGUGAAGUCAAACCGAGUAUGUUUGCAGGUCAGGUUCAGCUGUGCUAACUUUUGUGGCAUUGCAGUGAUGUUCAAACUAGUAGAGCUCUUUCUUCUAAGUCUUGUGUCAAAGCUGAAUAUCUGUAAUGAGCAAAGCAGAGCUGCUCUAGAGGAAACAGGUUUGGAGGUUCUGGAAUCACCCGCUCAGCCUUAACUACCAUUUUCCAAGAAGCCCCCGAGCCACUGUUUGCUGCAAACCACUGCUGGGAAGGUGAAACCAAGGUCUGCCUGGUUUUGAGGAACACGUUCUCAAAUCAUAUGUCACAUACAUUUUUCAAUUAAAAGUAAAGUUGAAAUAAUACCAAAUUCUUGUGAGAAGCAGGAAGCAUUCCUUAAAACCUUAAUAUUGUUAUUCUAAAAGGAAAAGAGCAAUCCUUCCUUCCUGAAGAAGUUAAAUUUAGUGCCAAGAAAAAGUUUAGUCUUAUAUAUCACUUUUCCCCACUAUGAUUAAUUACAAAAUAAUUAAAGCAGUCAUGGUCAGAAAACCGAAGGGCUACAAAGAAAUGCAAGUCUUAUCCCACUCUCAGUUCUGCUCCCCAGAAGCAAACAUCUUCAACUGCUGCAGGUUUUGUAUUUUGGGUAUUUACUUCCAUACUAAAUAAAAUGCUUAUUGUUUGUACAGUGUUUCUUGAC